AAGGGUUUAGGGUUUCGGCGGUUGCUUGAUGAGCGGCGGUAAUAGGUUUUGAAGAGCGACGAUGAAGGUGUGGAAAGGGUUUCGCAGUGGUGAAGAGGUGAAGAUCAUAGAGGGAAGGUGAGGCGAUGUUGUUGGUUAAACGCGGGUUACCGACGGAGGAAGGGAUUGCGUAUGGGUUUUCUGAGAGAGAGCCCAGUGAAUAGUGAGUGGUCUCUUAGGAAGAGGAAAAGGUUUUACUGAGUGAUGUGAGUGUUUUUUCUUAUGCUGAGAGUGAGAGAAUGAGGAGAUGGUGGAGUGAAUCGUGCCCGAGUGAGAGAGCGAGGAUCAUUUGUAGGGAUUCUCUUUUUUGUUUUUUUCUUUUCUUUUUCGUACAGUAGAGGGAAAGAGGAGGUAGUGGAGCAGGGUCUUGUUGGUAGUGGGGGAGUGGAUGAUGAGAGACGUUGGGAGCGUGAGAAGCUAACAGUCUUUUUGUUUUUAUUGGUAGUGGGGGAGUGGAUGAUGAGAGACGUUGGGAGCGUGAGAAGCUAACAGUCUUUUUGUUUUUUCCUCAUAGAAUCCAAUGUACAUUAUAUACAAUUAUUAUUACAAAUUAAUAUUAAAAAAAAUCUAACCAUUAUUUUAAAAACUAACUAACUAUUUAUAGACAAACUAAUUACUAAACUAAUUAUUAUAUAAUUAAAUAAUUAAUAUGAAAAAACUAAUUAAUACCUAAAAAAAA
This 718-nucleotide long non-coding RNA is filed under the name Lathyrus oleraceus (garden pea). Its description in RNAcentral is "Pisum sativum (pea) long non-coding RNA (PSAT_LNC004363)". Lineage: Eukaryota; Viridiplantae; Streptophyta; Magnoliopsida; Fabales; Fabaceae. The record is from RNAcentral.